RNAcentral lists this microRNA (23 nucleotides) under Daphnia pulex (common water flea). Its description in RNAcentral is "Dpu-Mir-10-P1-v2_3p* (star (passenger))". The record is from RNAcentral. RNAcentral also lists the same sequence under 1 other name. Lineage: Eukaryota; Metazoa; Arthropoda; Branchiopoda; Diplostraca; Daphniidae.
AAAUUCGGUUCUAGAGAGGUUCG